Long non-coding RNA from Ictalurus punctatus (channel catfish), 4349 nucleotides. Lineage: Eukaryota; Metazoa; Chordata; Actinopteri; Siluriformes; Ictaluridae. The record is from Ensembl.
GGAGAGAGAGAGAGAGAGACAGAAAUCAGAGAGAGAGAGAGAGAGAGGCCAGACAGAUAGACAGAAAAAGAGAAAGCAAUCAGAAAUCCUGAGACAAAGAGACAGAGAGCUCCAAAGACAGAGACAGUAAUCAGAGGGGGAAAAAGCUAGGAAGACAGACAGGGAUUAAAGACAGACAGAGACAUAAGCAAAGAGACAGAGAGAAGAAGGAGAAUGCCUGGGAGUAAAACAGAAAGAAAAAUAUUAAGCCAGCCAAAGCUAUAGGAAGAAAAAAAAAAGAAGCGAUUAAAGCCUGACAGACAGACACAAGGACAGAAAGAAGCCACGGUGAUAGAGAGACAGACGAGCAAGCCGGCGUGAGAAAAGGAGAGGAUCCGAGGAAGAAAGCCUGAGAGAGAUGAGCUGAAGGAGAAUAACUUUAUUUGAAAUAUGGUGACAUGUUUCACUCAAGCUGCCAGACUCCUCAUUACAGGCACCUCCUUUGACGUCAGCUGUCACGGUUCAUCAGGCUGCGCCGGGUUAAGGGCAAAAACAAACAGCUGCCAUCUCUCUCAGCGGGGAGCAGUGCAGGUAAACACUGAAUAUUAUUCACUUCCCCUGCACUUGAGCCGGCAUCGCUCUCCAACUAACUGAAUAUCUCCAGAAUGUGUUAUUAAAAAGGAAGGAGAAGCAACCAGAGCUUGAAUUUCACAGCCCACCACUUCACCUUUGACCUCGGGAUAAAGACUGAGAUCUGCAGCUAGUGGCUCAAGAUGAUGGACUAGCGGCAUGGUGGAACUGAGACUGUAAAGAAUAUUAAGGUUCUCUCACGCUGGCUUGCUCGCGAGCAAAGGUUAACAGGUAGCUAAACAUUUUUAAACAGUGUUACAGAUUAUCUAAACUUUUUCAAAGUGUUGAGGAUUAGCUAAACAUUUGGUCAGUGUUGAAGAUUAGCAAAACCUUUUCAAAGUGUUGAGGAUUAGCUAGAUGUUUUUAAACAGUGUUGAAGAUUAGCUAAACUUUUUGAAAGUGUUGAGGAUUAGCUAGAUGUUUUUAAACAGUGUUACAGAUUAUCUAAACUUUUUCAAAAUUUUGAAGAUUAGCUAAAUGUUUUAACAGUGUUGAGGAUUAGCUAAACAUUUGGACAGUGUUGAAGAUUAGCUAAACUUUUUCAAAGUGUUGAGGAUUAGCUAAACAUUUUUAAACAGUGUUGAAGAUUAGCAAAACCUUUUCAAAGUGUUGAGGAUUAGCUAAACAUUUUUAAACAGUGUUGAAGAUUAGCAAAACUUUUUGAAAGUGUUGAGGAUUAGCUAGAUGUUUUUAAACAGUGUUGAAGAUUAGCAAAACUUUUUCAAAGUGUUGACGAUUAGCUACAUUUCUUUAAAGUGUUGAGGAUUGACUAAACAUUUUUAACAGUGUUGAAGAUUAGCUAAACAUGUAGAAACCGCGUUGAUUAGUUAAACAUCUGAAAGCAGCGUCGAUUAGCUAAACGUCUAGAAACAGCGUCGAUUAGCUAAACGUCUAGAAACAGCGUCGAUUAGAUAAACGUCUAGAAACAGCGUUGAUUAGCUAAACGUCUAGAAACAGCGUCGAUUAGCUAAACGUCUAGAAACAGCGUCGAUUAGCUAAACGUCUACAAACAGUGUUGAGGAUUAGCUAAACGUCUAGAAACAGUGUCGAUUAGCUAAACGUCUAGAAACAGUGUUGAGGAUUAGCUAAACAUUUAUAUCCAGGUUAGAGGAUUAGCGUUGAGGAUUAUUUAAAGAUUUUUUCACAGAUUCAUUCCUGUUAUGUUUUUCCUACUUUUCUGAAAUGUUUUUAAUAUUGCGAAAGGUUCGAAUGGAAGCCAUAGCCAUCGUUUCGCAAGCUCGGAUAAAUUGCUUCAUCGAACAGUUGUUUUCUUGCCGAGCGACAUGACUGCAUGCUGCAAGAGCACGAGAUCGGAUGCAAAAGCAUGACUCUCCUGCCAAAAUAGGCAAGUUUCAGUCUUCGAUUUGGAUCAUUGAACACCUCAUAAGCUACUGUCUUCAUGCUUCUCAUUAAGUUGCUUCAUAAAGUAGGUACUUCCUUUUCAAAAAGCAAUUUCACUGAGAUUAGCUUCUGUUUAAUGUACAGCUUAACUAAUUCAGUUAGAUGAUAGCUUAAUGAGCUACAUUAUCAGAAUAGCUCCCCGAAAACAGGUAAACAGUCGAUAAGAACCGGAGAAGGCAGAACAGUGAUGCAAGAUAUUGACUAGAAUUAUGCUUCCAUUUUAAUUCUUCACAACUCUGAAGAACACUGAGAAAGAAAUAUUUGUCAUUUACAUGAAUUACCGCGAAUGUGAAUAUUUUGAUAAGCAAACUUAGUGAUGUCAUCAAAAGAGAGGCAGAUAAACAUUGCCGCAGGCAGUACGUUAUCAUUUAAGAAAAAAAAUGCUUCCCCCAGAUUUGAUUAAAACCAGCAUACAACAAAAAUAAACAAACAAAUAAACAGUCGUAUUUAGGCAUUUUUGCAAGUGUGCGACCUUGGGAUUCCUGGUCCAAAUUGUAUAGUGUUCCACAUAUAAAAUGUCCUCCACACACACACCGUUAUUACCGAGUUAAUGAGCUAGAGCAUGUUAACUAAAGUAGAUGCAACGUCUGUUUGCAAUUUAGUUGCAAUUUGGGCUGUACAUGAAAAUUUGACACAUUAUGUACAACUUCUGAUCGAUAAUCUGCAUAUUCACCGUGUCAUCAUGAUCAUUUGCAUAUUGAAACAGGUUACAUGAAGAAGGACAUUUUGCUAAAGACAAUAAUUAUAUAAUAUAAUUAUAUAUAUUUUUUUUUUUAAAGAUUUCCAAUGACGUAGUGGUAGGGAAUAGUCUGGAAAUAAACGCGAAAGAAAUGGCUACGGAUGGAAUAGCUCACAUUUAAGGGAGUUUAAAACGAAGAAUAAAGAUGUGCAUAGGUGGGACAAGCAAUAGCGAUUGGUUGUUGGAAAUUAUGGUGGUCAGUGAUUAGUUGUUGAGACCAAUGGUGGUCAGUGAUUGGUAAUUGGGAAUUAUGGUGAUCAGUGACUGGUUGUUGAGAACAAUGGUGAUAAGUGAUUCGCUGCUGGGACCAGUGGUGAUCAGUGACUGGUCACUGAGAAUUAUGGUGGUCAGUGAUUAGUCGUUGAGAACAAUGGUGAUCUGUAAUUGGUCAUUGAGAGCAAUGGUAAUCUGGGAUUGGUUGUUGAGAACAAUGGUGAUCAGUGAUUGGUCAUUGAGAACAAUGGUGAUCAGUGACUGGUGGCUGGGAACAAUAGUGAUCAGUGAUUGGUCGUUGAGAACAAUAGUGAUCACUGAUUGGUUGUUGAGAACAAUGGUGAUCAGUGAUUGGUCAUUGGGAACAUUGGGGCUCAGUGAUUGGACAUUGGGAACAAUUGUGAUCCAUGAUUGGUCGUUGGGUGCAAUGGUGAUCUAGCAACAAAAUCACUAAAUUGGCUACAUUUUUGUCUGACUGUGAGAGAAUGUUGACAUAUGAAAUUCAGCCAUUUCUUCCCCAUGAUGCCCAUCAUGCCCUCUGCAGGUCUGGAGGACGAGUCAGGGUUUUACCCCAGACGCUGGCAGUUAGCCCUGAAGACCUGCCACUAACGUGGUGGCCGUAAUCCCACCAAAUCCAGCUGUAACCUCAACACCUGACCCAGUGGCACUGAAAGGAAAUGAGUUUCCUGCUACGUGAAGAUUUCAGCAAGACAGAAAGCUUCUCUUAAGACUUUUUUUUUUUUUACUCGUCUGCUCCUUUUUAUCACUCUCUCCCUCUCUCCCAAAGGGCACAGGAGGAUGGAGAUAGCCAAAGGAAUUAUCACAAAUAACAAGAAUGUCCUUGCUCCAUGUCUGCCUGGAGUGUGGAAGAGGCAGCGUUUGGCUCGGCAGAUACAGACAUUAACCGGCUGCCUCGCUCUUAUCCUGCUUGGCCAGACUUGAAAUGCUUUUUUUCCCUUUUUUUUCCCCAAUGUAGUCUUCCUUUUGUGAGACCCUUUCUUCAUUAAGUGCUUCUACUUUCAUUACCAAUGGCACUCUUUCCUCAUCACCUCAUGUUCCUGGUAAGGAGUGCCAAUGACCGCUAAAUGAGAGGACUGUGACAUGCCCUGUCUUUUUGACGGACACGGUAAUGAGAGUGGUAGAAUGCCACCGGAAAGACUGUCUGGUUUCAUCUGUUCGGGUAUUCUACAGUGCCGGCUGCUGGUGAUAUUAGAACUGACGCUAAAAUACAUUAUCUAUCCAUUUUUCUUACAACCUGUAAUUGGUUCCACACAAAAAAAAAAAACCCAGAAAUAAUCUGCUUGUUAAUAAUAAUAAUAAUCUGAUGUGGAUAAAACCUUAUAGAGGUCUUUUCAUCUUUAAAAGAAUUUGCUUGCCCAAUUGUAAG